GCAAUGGUGGUUCAGCGGUACAAUUCUCUCCUUCCAUGCAGGAGACCUGGGUUGGAUUCCUGGCCAAUGCA
This 71-nucleotide transfer RNA is filed under the name Loxodonta africana (African savanna elephant). It matches the Rfam family "tRNA". From Rfam's summary of the family: Transfer RNA (tRNA) molecules are approximately 80 nucleotides in length. Their secondary structure includes four short double-helical elements and three loops (D, anti-codon, and T loops). Lineage: Eukaryota; Metazoa; Chordata; Mammalia; Proboscidea; Elephantidae. The record is from Rfam by way of RNAcentral.